GGGGGGGGGGCUUUAGUUACAAAAAGUUGAGAACCUCUGUUCUGGAUGAACACUUGGAAGCUGUAGUGUAACACAGCAAUUUAUUUUGCUCCUGAAACAUGAAUAGGGCUGGAGCCUGUGUUGGCUUAGCUAACUGGCAUCUGCAAAACAUAAUAUCAAUUAACUAGGGAAUGUUUGGUUUAGUGAAUCCAGCUUCUAAGAAAACCUCACCAUGUUGCGCUCACUUCAUGGUAUAGCUCUAUUCUUUGAAGCAGAAGUAGCGUAGAACAUAUUGGACUUACCUCAGAUGUAAAGUAAAUCAGAACAACGCCAUUUUCCACCUCCUUGCAUUUGAGCUACAUAGUUUGUUUGGAGGGGGGGUAGGGACAUGGACACUUCCACAUUCUUCCUUUGUUAGCAAUAUGUCAGCGAAUAUGUCUGUAUGUUGACUGAUCAAAAGUAAAUACUUGUAUAUACACAAUGUAACUCAUUAAAAGGUAAGAAGGGCUACUUAGUUUAAUGCUGAUGCUAUGAGCAGCCGUGUUGAUCUGAUGUCACUCACUGAAUUCAGUGGAACUCUGAACUUUUAUUUUUAGGGGUCAGGAAUUAGGAGUUACGUAUAAAGCAGGUUGAUUUAAGAGUCUGAUUUGGCCUGAGUGUUUGCUGGUGAGGGAUAACUCAAACCUUCUACGUUCUCAGUUUUUUUUUUUUGGCUAAAUAAACUAACAACAAUUUGAAUGUCUACUGUCACAUUUGUGCCUCUUUUACAACGUUGAAAAGCUGCCCAAAACAAACUAUGCACCGUACAAACCUAUAUAACUGUUUUUACAGUCUAACAUGACUACUAUUGCAAAACUCAUUCAUGUAUUCAAUAAUUUCUAGUAUCCACUGUGUUCUGGUCAGGACUGCUCUGGAUCCGGAGCCUAUUCCGGGAACACUGGAGGCGAGGCAGGAAUAAACCCUGAAUAGGAUACCGGUUCAUUGCAGGGCACCACACAUUUACACCCAGGGGCAAGUUAGAGUCACUGCCAUGUUUUAUGAGAGGCGGGAGGGAAAAGGGUGAAUCUGGACACAGGGAGAACGCCACACAGACUGUAAGACCAAUUUUAACACAAUUAUAUGACGGUCAGUUUCAAAAUCAUAUGAAAGGGACUGAGUCGUUAUCACCAUGGUUCAUCGACAAUUGUCUUCUUGUAAAUCAUAAUUUUUGAAAAUACUGUUGGAGUUGUUACAACCAGAUACACAUCUCCUGCCUAAUUUUCAGGCCGUCUAAUUUAAAAAUAAAUAAAUAAAACAAUAAAAAUAUUCACCUGCAUGGCCUGCGGAAGAAAAACAACCCUGAGUGAGAAUCAGUAAGACGUGUCCAUUAAAGCACAUCCUGCCAGAUUCCCGACCAACCAACACUCGUGCAUGCAAAUAAUUUGGUGCGCUUGAAAAUCACAGCAAGGGGAAACAACCUCAACCAAAUGAAAAAGAUUCAAUGUCACCAAAAAUAAAUAAAUAAAUAAACAAACAAACAAACAGACAAAACACACACCACACUCCAGUGCAGACUUUAGAAAAUUAACUAGAUGUGAAAACAGCCUUGACCCUCAAAAAUGAAAUAUUAAGACUGAUAUUCAGUGGGUAAGGUUUGGCACUUACGACUGUCAGUGAGUCACCACUGCGUCCUUAACGUCAAAUCUAUAUGCUUGAAUCGUUCAUCUAUAUGCUUGAAGUCACUUUUGUUAAAAGGAUCCACCUAAUAAAUUAAAUAAACAUUUCAAAGCAAAGCUUCAAGCUAAGGCUUACUGCAUUUAUUUUAACCACUUAUUUUACUUUUUACUUUAGGAUGCCUGCAAAGGCAGUGUGCUGCUUUAAAAGAGGAUAUCCUAAAAUUAGGGAUGGCACCAAUCCAAUACCCAGGAUCACUAGACAAAGAAAAAAGAAAAACGAAAGGUGGAUCAGAUAUUGAACAAAUAUGAUAAAUUCAACUCGAUCCUGAAACAAAUGGAAAACAUUGGAAUUGAAAAAGAUUUAUAUUUUUGGAUGCAUGUUUGGUUUUUUUUGGUGUUUCAGUACUAAAUAUUUUCAGUUUAUUAGUUUUAAAGAAAAAAAAUUUGGGAUGAUCAAUACUGAAGGUUUCCGUUUCAGAAAAAAGAAAGAAAGUACAUCAAGCCACCUUUAUUAAAAUGCUGAACAGUGACCAAGCAUCACCAAAUCUCCCAUACACUUAACAUCUUGCCAUAAAUACUACCUACUACCACUUUAGUGGCCAUAAUUAGUCUAUUUUUUUUUAUCAUCAUCCCAUAACUAAAUAUUAAACACAGAGCAUCACAUUAACCAUACAAAGACUUGUUAUUAUAAACAAUUUAACAUUGUGUAGGGUGUUAAAAGUGAAAUUUUUUUAUGGCACUUGAUUGAUUACAGUACUGUCUACUAAAACAAAUUAUGCAAUAAACUAAAUAUAAACCUCACCACUAUAUAAUAUUAAAAACUUAUAAGGAAAUAGGAAAAUAUUCUAAUUAUUGUGCUGUUUUUGCAUCACAUUAGUAAUAUCUGCAGUAAAUAGUGUGAGACAAGGUAAGUGUUGUGUUCUUCUCUUACUUGUUUUUUUUUUUUUUUGCUUCAUUUCCUCAACAUUAAGUCUUGUAAUAAAUAAGUUUAAUAAAGUGUCCUUUGACUUAAAGAAAGAAACAAACCAUCUCAUUUACAUAGCUGACCUCAGGAACGUAGUUUCCUCGCUUUGUACUAAAGCUUGCCAACAAGUAAGAGAAGUUUCUAGUUACUUAGCAUUUUGUCUUCAAACUUUGGACCACGCCUUCUGAGCAGGUAAAGCGUGGCUCUUUUGCGCAUGCCUCGAGCUCUUAAUUACUUUCUAACAGACUUACUUUUAUAUAUAUAUAUAUAUAUACACACAUACACACAUACAUACAUACAUACACACGCUACUGAAUGCAUUAGCCAACCUAAAGUUGCCUUGGUGUUACACAUGCUUCAAUUAAUGCUUUCAGAUCACAUUGUUGGUCUAAAUGUUAUGCGGAAAUGCCUUAUUCUAAUGAAUGAACACGGAUAUAGAUGCUACUCGGAAUGGUAACCGAAUCUCCAACAAAACCUGCAACAGAUGCAUCCCCCUUUGGACUAACUGUACCUUAUAUCUCUCUGAUGGGGAAAAUAUAUCUCGUGUAAACCGAAAUAUUUUCCUAUUAGCCCUCUACAGGUUGCACUAACAAGAGAAAACACAAUACAUUGGCCAGGUUGAACUGAAUCUGCUGAAAUGCAUCCUGUUGAUAAACAGUGCACUAUGAUAUCAAUCCGCACAAUAUAAUGUUUAAUAAGUGACCUAGAUACAUGCGCGAGACGAAUUGCGGUGUUCCUGAAACCUAACGCGCGCGCCUUUCGCUCUCGGAACUAAAUAUAGCAAAGUUGAAAAUACGGACCCAAUAAUUUUUUUAUUUUUUUGAAGACACCACCGCCAUCAAAAUGAACCGUCUGGACAAGUCACAAGUGCGUGUGUUUUUAAAAUCGGUUAGCUAGCUAGCCGCAAACGUUUGGCGGCGCACCUCUCGCGCACCUCUCUCUCACUCACUCACUAUCUCUCUCUCUCUCUCUCUCCGGUCGCACUAAGCGCGAGCGAAAUGUGGGUCACCAGGCCUCCGGACUCUUCACAAGCAAGCUUCAGGGACAAAAAAAUAAUAAGAGCGCUGUGCUGUAUUUUCAUGAUAUAUAUUUUUAAAUCAGCGUUAAAACAAAUACUGCACUAGACUUGUACCCGGUGUCUUAUUAUUUUGUAAAUCGUAUCAUGCAAAAAGCUGUCCUUACCCAGUUUAUUCGCCGUCAUGAGGGGAUCUCGCGCUCCUUGUUUUGGUUUAGACGCCUGCGUUGGAUUGACUGGAGUUACAAAAACAGCAGGGCCUACCCUGGGCUUCCCAAACGCAUGCGCAGUGGGAACUAAGCGGCAGUAGCAGCAGCCUACACAAUCUGGCAACACACACACACACACACAUAUACA
This is a long non-coding RNA of Ictalurus punctatus (channel catfish), 3970 nucleotides long. Lineage: Eukaryota; Metazoa; Chordata; Actinopteri; Siluriformes; Ictaluridae. The record is from Ensembl.